RNAcentral lists this ribosomal RNA (468 nucleotides) under uncultured bacterium. Its description in RNAcentral is "partial 16S ribosomal RNA". It matches the Rfam family "Bacterial small subunit ribosomal RNA", at positions 28 to 507 of the family's 1533-position model. The record is from RNAcentral.
GACGAACGCUGGCGGCGUGCUUAACACAUGCAAGUCGAACGGAAAGGCCCUGCUUUUGUGGGGUGCUCGAGUGGCGAACGGGUGAGUAACACGUGAGUAACCUGCCCUUGACUGUGGGAUAACUUCAGGAAACUGGGGCUAAUACCGGAUAGGAGCUCCUGCUGCAUGGUGGGGGUUGGAAAGUUUCGGCGGUUGGGGAUGGACUCGCGGCUUAUCAGCUUGUUGGUGGGGUAGUGGCUUACCAAGGCUUUGACGGGUAGCCGGCCUGAGAGGGUGACCGGCCACAUUGGGACUGAGAUGCGGCCCGGACUCCUCCGGGAGGCAGCGGUGGGGAAUGUUGCACAAUGGGCGGAAGCCUGAUGCAGCAACGCCGCGUGCGGGAUGACGGCCUUCGGGUUGUAAACCGCUUUCGCCUGUGACGAAGCGUGAGUGACGGUACUGGGUAAAGAAGCACCGGCUAACUACGUG